AGUCGAGCGAGAAGGGUAGCAAUACCUGAGUAAAGCGGCGCACGGGUGAGUAACACGUGGAUAACCUGCCUCAAAGUGGGGAAUAACACCGGGAAACCGGUGCUAAUACCGCAUAUUCUGACGAGAUCUGUGGAUUUUGCCAGGAAAGGAGCAAUUCGCUAUGAGAGGGGUCCGCGGCUGAUUAGCUAGUUGGUGAGGUAAUGGCUCACCAAGGCCACGAUCAGUAGCCGGUCUGAGAGGACGGUCGGCCACACUGGAACUGAGACACGGUCCAGACUCCUACGGGAGGCAGCAGUGGGGAAUUUUUCGCAAUGGGGGCAACCCUGACGAAGCAAUGCCGCGUGGAUGAUGAAGUAUCUCGGUACGUAAAAUCCUUUCGACGGGGACGAAACCGCAAGGUUGACGGUACCCGUAGAAGAAGCCCCGGCUAACUCCGUGCCAGCAGCCGCGGUAAUACGGGGGGGGCAAGCGUUGUUCGGAAUUACUGGGCGUAAAGGGUGCGUAGGCGGCUUUCUAAGUCGGAUGUGAAAACUCUGGGCUCAACCCAGAGACUGCAUCUGAAACUGGAGAGCUAGGGUUCUGGAGGGGAAAGCGGAAUUCCUGGUGUAGCGGUGAAAUGCGUAGAUAUCAGGAGGAACACCGGUGGCGAAGGCGGCUUUCUGGACAGAUACCGACGCUGAGGCACGAAAGCUAGGGGAGCAAACAGGAUUAGAUACCCUGGUAGUCCUAGCCCUAAACGAUGGAUACUUGCUGU
RNAcentral lists this ribosomal RNA (754 nucleotides) under uncultured bacterium. Its description in RNAcentral is "bacterial SSU rRNA". It matches the Rfam family "Bacterial small subunit ribosomal RNA", at positions 60 to 823 of the family's 1533-position model. The record is from RNAcentral.